This is a small nucleolar RNA of Zingiber officinale, 218 nucleotides long. RefSeq annotates it as small nucleolar RNA Z112. The transcript has a single exon. Lineage: Eukaryota; Viridiplantae; Streptophyta; Magnoliopsida; Zingiberales; Zingiberaceae. The record is from RefSeq and is a predicted model, not a curated record.
GUCCCAAUGAGGAAGAACAACCUUCUUGAUAGGAAGUGCCGUAUGACUCAUUAAACAGCAACUGUGGCAACUAGUUACUUCCACUCAUCUUCGUUUGCUCCAUUCUUUUCAUAUUCUUUAAGAAUUGAACUGUUGUGGAUGUUCAAAUGAAUGGUUUUGUGGAAUGACUUGAACUCGUGACAGUUGUGUGUGUGAUUUUAAACGGUUCUCUGAGGGUU